UUGGUACUGCAGCCCUGAAAAAUCUUCUGUGGUUAUCUUUCAUCCACUUCCUUAUUUUUGUGUUGAGUGGGAGAAGGGGCUGUGUAUCUACAGCCAGGAGGCAAAGAUGGAAUAGAAUGACCAGGAAAACAAAGAGGAAACCUGAAGGCGCGGGAGGCUGUAGGUGUCUUACAAGUGCAGGGAGGAGGCAGGGUGUUCAGGAUGCUUGUUGGAUGGCUCUGGGGAGAAGUUGUGAAGCGAGACAGUGAGGCUUUUUGGUCACAUUUUAUGCAUAACUGAAAAUUGCUGUAAAGCCCUCUAUAAAUUAUAUAAUCACUGACUUUGAUUCCAUGCCCUUUGUUACUAUUUUUAAUAAUGGCUUUUACUUCACUCUCUCCGAAGCAUUUCUAGUAAAUUUAUGGAAUGAAGAGGAAUUAGUCUCUUUCUGGAUUGGGGAGCCCCCUCCUGGGAGGUAGGCAGUUUUGGGUUUGUUUGUUAUUUGUUCUUUUUGAGUAAUGGAGGUAGAGAAAGGUGCAAGGCCAAUUUCACUUAAUAAGGUUCUUAGUGGACAAAUAAUAAUCAUUGUAUAGAGUUUCAGGAAAUUUUGAAGCUAAGAGAAAAAGAUAUUUGGGGACAGUGGAAAGAUAGAAGUUUGUGGCAAGGAUAACAUUAUAGGCAAUAUGUUUUGAUUGCUUUGUACAAAUCUAGAGUCACCACUUUGUUAGUUUAGGAAUAUAAACGUCUUAUGUAACUUUCAGACUCACAGAGUAUUUAUAUUGUAUAUUUAGAAUUGUAAAGGCUCAGAAAAAUACAGUAGGAAAAGUUGAAAUAAUACCAUGUCUUUCUCAUAAAAUUCCAGUCUUAAAGGGAAUAAUUUUCAAAUUCUUAAAAAAUUGUUUCACCCUCUGGAAGCCACAUCUAGGGUGGAGGAUAAGAAGUCACAUGCCCUUAGAGGCCCCAUCUUCUUUCAGGCCUCCGAUUUGAGUACACUUGUCUCACACGUGUCAUGUGUGCGCCUGGUAUGCGCCUGGUGUACUCUCGUCUGCUUUUUUGGAUGCUGGAGAAGGCUUAGUCUAAGAAAAUGUUGAAUUCAUUUGACAGCAAUAUCUAUUAUCAAGGAGGAAAAAUGGCUUUUGCAUUUGCUGGAAUCACCUGUCAGACAUACUUGAAUACUGUUGGGGUCUUUUUCCCAAUCAGCUCUCUGCACGUUACCUCCUGGGUUCAGGUCUUGCCAGAGGAGCCCUACGGGAAAAGUUCAAGCGGAAACUUCAGCUGGAGUGCUUUCUCAUUCUAGAGCCAGGUUUCUAAUUUUCUCCCUCAGUGAAAGCAAGUUAAAAAAGAAUCAUUCAGUCACUUCAGACGAUUUGAAAUGUGCGUCAACUUUUACAAAACGGUGGAUCUCCCAAGAGCUUUGGUGUCAGUUUGAGUUUUAUGGUAAAGGCCACUACCUUGGAAGCUUAGGGGUGGUCAUAGAAAUUUCAGAAGAUGAGCCCGUUGGGGAAAUAGCCAAUUUCCUCCUUCGCUGUCUUCCUUAGGCCUCAUGAGACGGUGCAAGAACAUCAGCACUUAACUUGACUCUACCCGUUGGUGACAGUUUAUUCAUUCAAGCUGGAAGUUUAAGGAUUUUCAUUUAUAAAAGCCGAAUUGUUGAGAUAGAAGCUAAGAGACUGGAGAUCGAACAUCAAGUGACCCUUGAAGAGCUACAACGCUUAAAUGCACUCUUUCAGGUAGGAAUCGAGCAGGUGAGCUUUCUAAAUAAUCAUCUGGGUAAUUUGAUUCUCUUUUUGAUGGCUGAUUUUUCAGUGAAAGUACAAUCCUUUAACUCCUAUAAAAUAGCAAUGAAGAGUAAAUUCUCUGUAAUUGUGACUUCUUAAUGGAUUUGGAAACAAAUUGUGAAAGCAUCAGAGAAACGAACAAAAAGGUAACGUGUUAGAAGUUGACAGAGUUCAGGUAAGUCCAAUUAGACAUUCAGUUCUUGGGACUCUUGCUCCCAGACUAAACAAAAUGCAACUGUGUUCAUAGCUAAUGAUUCUUUUUCCCUCCUAGGAGUAUGAGAAGAGAGAAAGACAGCUGCUGGAUAUGGAAACUUUCAAAUACAUAAUGAAGCAGAGCAUGAGGUCACAGAAGAGAGUAAAUGGGUUUUAUAAAUGUUGGAGCAUUGCGACCACAGUUAAAGCGUUAACCCUAGGAACCAGUUAGGCUUGGAUGGCUUCUGCACAUAUCUGCAGCUCGUGUAUUCUGAGCAAGCUGAUGCUUUGGCUCGACAAAAAGAGGUUUCCUUCCAGCUGCCUGCUGUGCUGCAGGGGCUGUCAUACGGGGGUCCCGUGCUGCGCAUUCUCUCCGCAACUGAUGACACCUUAAUCAUGAUCAGAGAAGAUGGAGCCAUUUAUUUCUGGUCCCUGCAGCUGAAGUUGAAAAGAAGAAAGUGGGUUUUUGUAUGUGAUUCUCAUUUUCUAAGGAUGCUGAGUGCUCCAGUUUGAUUCUAUUUGCUAUUUUAAACUGCUCCUCAAGUGGCAUGAUUACAGAAAUUGUGUCCUUGAAUAUAAUAUAUUCAUGUUGGAUUUUGCCAGUCUACGGAAUGCAAAUAAAAUAUGAUCUCUAUAUGUAGCACAAGAUAAUUCUUCCUCCUGCUUCUAAAAUCAGAUGGAGUGAUGAAUUACAUGUGACUCCAUCAUGUAAUUUACCAUAUAUCUUAAUGAAUGACAAAUGGAAAAGAAUUUUCCAUUUUUCUCCCUGUUAAUGGUUAUUUCAGUUUAGGUGGCUGUGCUAGGGUUUCUCUUCAGAGAACUUAAUGAAUCACAGAAUCAGAACCUCAGAAGGCAAGAAGCAUUUGGGAAGUGCGCUUAGGACAGGAAUAACAAUACCUGACCCAUUCCAGAAUAUAAUCUGUCUUUUAAGUCAUUGUUUCAUUAUCUCAUUCAAUGAAUCGUUGAGCCCUUGUUGCUGCUCAGGCUCUGUGCAGGGUGCUGAGAAUACAGACACCCAUUCCUGCCCUCAGGAAACUUACCAUCCACCCUGGAAGAUACAGCUAAACUAUACCCCUCAGGCUGCCAAAUAAGCCCUGCCUAGAGAGAGGGGCUAAAGUUGGCUCUUCAUGCUGAUGUAGCAAGUUCUCUUUACAGGCAGACCUUGUUUCAUCGCGUUUCUCUGGUACUGCAUUGGUCGCAGACUGAAGGCUGUGGCAACGCUGCAUCCAGCAGGGCUAUCAGUGCCAUUUUCCCAACCGCAGUUGUUCACUUUGUUUCUCUGUGUCACAUUUUGAUAAUUCUUGCAAUAUUUCCCAAUUUUUCACUCUCAUUAUAUCUGUUAUGGUGACCUGUGAUCAGUGAUCUUUGAUGCUACUAUUGCAAAAAGAUAACUACUCGUGGAAGGCUCAGAUGACAGUUAGCAUCUUUUAACAAUAAAGUAUUUUUAAAUUAA
Molecule: long non-coding RNA, 3399 nt
Organism: Camelus dromedarius (Arabian camel)
Lineage: Eukaryota; Metazoa; Chordata; Mammalia; Artiodactyla; Camelidae
Exons: 3
Source: RefSeq, a predicted model, not a curated record